Molecule: long non-coding RNA, 1181 nt
Filed under: Canis lupus familiaris (dog)
Lineage: Eukaryota; Metazoa; Chordata; Mammalia; Carnivora; Canidae
Description: lncRNA (ENSCAFG00000053773.1)
Source: RNAcentral
AUGCUGUAUAGUAUGAGUUCAAGAGUUCUGUCUAAUGUUCCUAGAAAAUCUUUGGUGACAGUCAGUGAUGAUUUGUUUUUCAUCAUACAAGGAAGAUUUGUGAAACAGUGUUAUAAAGGAAAAGUAAUAAAGAAUGAUAAACCUUCCUUAUGUAGAUCACUUUGCUGUGAAUUUGUCGUCUUUUUGUUUUGUUUUGUUUUUAAGCCAUACUCAAUGCCAUACUCUGUGAUCAUCAGGGUGGACUCCACCCCUGAAAGUGAUAGAGAAAACCAGUUCUCCACAGGGAACAGAACAGGGAGGCUGGUGAAAGUAUAAGACAAGGCAGAUAAGGUCCAGCCAGGUAGGAUCCUGUUGGCCAUGUAACGAGGAGAUCAUCUCAGGUAAGAAUGUGACUUUUAAUCUCACUACAGAGUUAAAUACUCUGGAGUAGCUCUGACAUGAGAACUUCUCAUUACUUUCUGUGGGUUGUGCCAACUGAGAUAGAUAACCAUGGCUCUUGUUGUUGUCGUUAUACACAAAACCAGAAGUGAUUUAUAAACAAGAAAAUAAGAAUACCAAACUUGAGUCAUCAUUAGUUUAGUUACUAGUGGAAUAAAUGCAUUAUAAUUAGGCCUUUUUGUAUAAGGAGAGAAAACGUCAUAGAUAUAUACACAGGAAUGAUAGGGUUUAAAGUUCACCCUAGAUACACCUCUUUGCUCUCUUAUUAGGGUAAUUUUGGGGUGGUCUGGCUAAAUAACUGUUCUCUCGCCUUAAGGGUAUAUAACAUUUCCAUCAAGAAAACAAAUAAAGUGGAAGCUUUAAAGAAUAUUUUGAAUCAAUUAUAGAAACUCUUAUUAAGGAGGUUUGGUCAAAGGUAUUAGAGACCAUUAGUAUAAUAACUUUGAAAAUCUAAUGCAAUAAUCCCUUCUUUAGAUCUCUGAAAUUCAUCUAUGCCCACUAAAAGUCUCUCCUCAUACUUGUUAUGUAAACAAAAGUUGCAUGUUUUUAUAUUUAUUUCACAUUUAAAGAUAAAAACCUGUGUUGUGGAUAGGGUUUUGUUUUGUUCUUUAUGCAUGUAUUUUGUCUUAUUUUAAGCAUUUAUCCCUCCUGCCCCUACAGUUUUAUGGUGGGAUCAUGGACUUUUUCCCUCCUUGUAUUCAGUGUAGAAAAGUAGGUAAGGGAUGCCUGGGUGGCUCAGUAGU